UUUUUUUUUUGACAAAAAACUCCUUUUUUUAUUCCAGCAUUCGCACAGAGUCAAAUCAAAUUUGCGCUCCCAUCUUCUUGGAAACCACACGUCAUGCAUCACAGGCGCUUUUGUCUACCUUUUGACAAAUUUCCUUGAAUCUGGGCAUUUUCUAAUGAACCUCGACAUUCACCUCCAGACAAGUUGGUGAUGUGUGCAAGGCCGGACAUGUGAUGUUGGGGGACAUGCAAAUCUAACGGACAAGUGCUGUCUCUGCUGCUUAAAGCCUCCCUGCUCAGAAGGCCCAAGUAUAUGACAAUGACCUGGGGAGGAGGAAGUGUGGCAAAAAAAAAAGAAAGAAAACAAAUGACACACCUACGGAGGGCGGGAUGCAAGGACUGCUUAUUGAACGGUGCAAGAACAGGGCAAGAGAAAAGCGGCAACAGCGGGAGAACGGUUUACUCAAAACAUCUGUAAUAUCUGCUUAUCUGUGUUUGUGGUAACACCAUGAACAGCCGCUUGUGAAAACACAAGUGCCGUCACUGUACAUGUAGACAACACAUGGUGCAAAAGAAAUGAUUUAAUACAGCAUGGCAUCCUCAACACCAGUGGCGCUCUAUCUAUCUUCUUUUUGGCAAGGACUUCCUGCUCUCCAGAGCGGCUCCGUCAAUACAUGACAUUUACGAGGCUCCCAUGAGCCGCGGCGCAUGUUGCACAGAUGACGAGGGACGCCUUCCGCGCCAUGACGACAAAACUGCCAAAUUGUGAGACAUUGUGCGUGUAAUUUUCUCCAGAAAAAAAAAAAAAAAAAAAAAAAAAAAAAAAAAUUCAAACAGAAGCUCAUCUCUGCUGAUAAGAAGAGAAAAUGCAUGACAUGGGGAUGAUAAGAGGAGGAGGCAGGAGAAACUUCAAUGGCGGAGUGUGUUUGGAUACGGCGAAGUGGAAGCAAAGAGAGUUUUCCACGCGAGUCAAUACUGCUGUCUUCAUUUACCGCAGGCCGUUGGAGGCAGCUUAGAAAUCUCUUACAUCUGGAACAGCCGUAAUUCGUGGGAUUUGGCCUGACAGCCAUGACAGUCAUCGGGGCGACCGACAACAACUGUCUCCUGUGUUAGCGGCUGCAGUGAAUAUGUGUGUCUGAAGCACAAGCUGAAAUGGAUCAAAGUAUUUCAUCUUUGCAAAAUCGUUUCCGUGUCUCUGUUGUUCAUUUUGGCAAUUAAUUCUACGUGAUUUGUUUCUUGUAAUGCUGAUAAGUUCAGAUAAACUACAUGAAUAAAAUAAUUUACUUCA
Poecilia latipinna (sailfin molly) is the source of this 1266-nucleotide long non-coding RNA. RefSeq lists it as uncharacterized. The transcript has 3 exons. The record is from RefSeq and is a predicted model, not a curated record. NCBI's taxonomy places the organism in Eukaryota, Metazoa, Chordata, Actinopteri, Cyprinodontiformes, Poeciliidae.